Molecule: ribosomal RNA, 356 nt
Filed under: uncultured Bacteroides sp.
Lineage: Bacteria; Pseudomonadati; Bacteroidota; Bacteroidia; Bacteroidales; Bacteroidaceae
Description: bacterial SSU rRNA
Rfam family: Bacterial small subunit ribosomal RNA
Source: RNAcentral
UGAGGGAAUAUUGGGUCAAUGGGGCGGGAGCCUGAACCAGCCAAGUCGCGUGAGGGAGGAAGGUCCUACGGAUUGUAAACCUCUUUAGCCGGGGAGCAACGUGCGCCACGUGUGGCGCAGUGAGAGUACCCGGAGAAUAAGCAUCGGCUAACUCCGUGCCAGCAGCCGCGGUAAUACGGAGGAUGCGAGCGUUAUCCGGAUUUAUUGGGUUUAAAGGAGCGUAGGCCGGAGAUUAAGCGUGUUGUGAAAUGCCGCGGCUCAACCGUGGCACUGCAGCGCGAACUGGUUUUCUUGAGUGCGCGCGACGCAGGCGGAAUUCGUGGUGUAGCGGUGAAAUGCUUAGAUAUCACGAGGAA